AUUCAGAUGAUAAGUCCCAAAUAGGACGAAAUACGCUUUAUCCUGGAU
RNAcentral lists this non-coding RNA (48 nucleotides) under Trichobilharzia regenti. The record is from RNAcentral. Lineage: Eukaryota; Metazoa; Platyhelminthes; Trematoda; Strigeidida; Schistosomatidae.